RNAcentral lists this ribosomal RNA (320 nucleotides) under uncultured eukaryote. Its description in RNAcentral is "partial 18S ribosomal RNA". It matches the Rfam family "Eukaryotic small subunit ribosomal RNA", at positions 1470 to 1796 of the family's 1831-position model. The record is from RNAcentral.
CCCCUAGAUGUUCUGGGCCGCACGCGCGCUACACUGAACAGUUCGACAAGUCUUAACCUUGGCCGAUAGGUCUGGGUAAUCUUUGAACGCUGUUCGUGAUUGGGAUAGACCUUUGCAAUUAUGGGUCUUCAACGAGGAAUUCCUAGUAAACGCAAGUCAUCAGCUUGCAUUGAUUACGUCCCUGCCCUUUGUACACACCGCCCGUCGCACCUACCGAUUGAAUGGUCCGGUGAAAUCUCGGGACGGCGGCUUGGUCGCUUGCGUCCGACUGCUGAAACUUGAUUAAACCAUAUCAUUUAGAGGAAGGUGAAGUCGUANCA